RNAcentral lists this ribosomal RNA (465 nucleotides) under Vreelandella stevensii. RNAcentral describes it as "partial 16S ribosomal RNA". It matches the Rfam family "Bacterial small subunit ribosomal RNA", at positions 338 to 795 of the family's 1533-position model. Lineage: Bacteria; Pseudomonadati; Pseudomonadota; Gammaproteobacteria; Oceanospirillales; Halomonadaceae. The record is from RNAcentral.
CCUACGGGGGGCUGCAGUGGGGAAUAUUGGACAAUGGGGGCAACCCUGAUCCAGCCAUGCCGCGUGUGUGAAGAAGGCCCUCGGGUUGUAAAGCACUUUCAGUGAGGAAGAACGCCUGGUGGUUAAUACCCAUCAGGAAAGACAUCACUCACAGAAGAAGCACCGGCUAACUCCGUGCCAGCAGCCGCGGUAAUACGGAGGGUGCGAGCGUUAAUCGGAAUUACUGGGCGUAAAGCGCGCGUAGGUGGCUUGAUAAGCCGGUUGUGAAAGCCCCGGGCUCAACCUGGGAACGGCAUCCGGAACUGUCAAGCUAGAGUGCAGGAGAGGAAGGUAGAAUUCCCGGUGUAGCGGUGAAAUGCGUAGAGAUCGGGAGGAAUACCAGUGGCGAAGGCGGUCUUCUGGACUGACACUGACACUGAGGUGCGAAAGCGUGGGUAGCAAACAGGAUUAGAUACCCUGGUAGUC